GACGAACGCUGGCGGCGUGCUUAACACAUGCAAGUCGAGCGGUAAGGCCCUUUGGGGGUACACGAGCGGCGAACGGGUGAGUAACACGUGGGUGACCUGCCCUCAGCUCUGGGAUAAGCCUGGGAAACUGGGUCUAAUACUGGAUAUGACCUUUCCUCGCAUGGGGGUUGGGUGGAAAGUUUUUCGGCUGGGGAUGGGCCCGCGGCCUAUCAGCUUGUUGGUGGGGUGAUGGCCUACCAAGGCGACGACGGGUAGCCGGCCUGAGAGGGCGACCGGCCACACUGGGACUGAGACACGGCCCAGACUCCUACGGGAGGCAGCAGUGGGAAUAUUGCGCAAUGGGCGGAAGCCUGACGCAGCGACGCCGCGUGGGGGAUGACGGCCUUCGGUU
Molecule: ribosomal RNA, 391 nt
Filed under: uncultured bacterium
Lineage: Bacteria
Description: bacterial SSU rRNA
Rfam family: Bacterial small subunit ribosomal RNA
Source: RNAcentral